GACGAACGCUGGCGGCGUGCUUAACACAUGCAAGUCGAACGGAAAGGCCCUGCUUUUGUGGGGUGCUCGAGUGGCGAACGGGUGAGUAACACGUGAGUAACCUGCCCUUGACUUUGGGAUAACUUCAGGAAACUGGGGCUAAUACCGGAUAGGAGCUCCUGCUGCAUGGUGGGGGUUGGAAAGUUUCGGCGGGUGGGGUUGGACUCGCGGCUUAUCAGCUUGUUGGUGGGGUAGUGGCUUACCAAGGCUGUGACGGGUAGCCGGCCUGAGAGGGUGACCGGCCACAUUGGGACUGCGAUACGGCCCAGACGCCUACGGGAGGCAGCAGUGGGGAAUAUUGCACAAUGGGCGGAAGCCUGAUGCGGCGACGCCGCGUGCGGGAUGACGGCCUUCGGGUUGUAAACCGCUUUCGCCUGUGACGAAGCGUGAGUGACGGUAAUGGGUAAAGAAGCACCGGCUAACUACGUG
RNAcentral lists this ribosomal RNA (468 nucleotides) under uncultured bacterium. Its description in RNAcentral is "partial 16S ribosomal RNA". It matches the Rfam family "Bacterial small subunit ribosomal RNA", at positions 28 to 507 of the family's 1533-position model. The record is from RNAcentral.